This 255-nucleotide ribosomal RNA is filed under the name uncultured bacterium. RNAcentral describes it as "partial 16S ribosomal RNA". It matches the Rfam family "Bacterial small subunit ribosomal RNA", at positions 524 to 776 of the family's 1533-position model. The record is from RNAcentral.
UACGUAGGGGGCGAGCGUUAUCCGGAAUUACUGGGCGUAAAGCGCACGCAGGCGGGUUCGCCAAGUUUGGAGUGACAGUUGUCGGCUCAACCGACAAAGGACUUCAAAAACUGGUGAACUUGAGGACGAGAGAGGAACAUGGAACUCCAGGUGUAGUAGUGAAAUGCGUAGAUAUCUGGAAGAACACCGAUGGCGAAGGCAAUGUUCUGGCUCGUUUCUGACGCUCAGGUGGCGAAAGCCAGGGGAGCGAACGGG